RNAcentral lists this long non-coding RNA (1217 nucleotides) under Homo sapiens (human). RNAcentral describes it as "HSALNT0361618". The record is from RNAcentral. Lineage: Eukaryota; Metazoa; Chordata; Mammalia; Primates; Hominidae.
GGGGACCAGGAGGAAGAGUUUCUUCGAGACCUGGUGGUUGAAGAGCAGUGGAUCAUUCUUGGCUGUGGUGGGAGAGGUGCUGAACGUUGUUCACGCUGGCUAUGUCAUGAGUGGAAUCUAUGGCGUCAAGGCUAGGUGCUUCCAAGACCAAGAUAACCAGGCAAUCAUAGUAGAUGCAUCAAUGCACCCUUGCCCAAGGGCCUAGACAAGAGGUAUUGUUUAGCUUCGCAUGAAUUUUAUCACCUUGCCUAGAACCAGCCACCAUCUGCCAGGGCUCCUGACUUUUUCUGAAAUGAAUAGACACUAAAGCCUGCUGGGGAAUUUCAUGGAAAUCAAGAUGACUCAACCCAGAGUCCAUUUCAAGGCUAGGAUGCUAGAGGACGCCAACAAAGGAGUAGGGAAGUGAAACGGAUCAGCUCACAUCCAAGCCCUUGCAUGAUCAAUCCUGCAGUAGGAGUGCUGCUCAGUUGGGACUCAUGAGAGCCCGGAAGAGGAAAAAGCAGCUCUAAGCAUAGCAAAGAAGCUGUUAUGGAAAAGACCCAAAUGUUAAAAUGGUGGACAUAGUAAAGUGAUUGGUUCUGCUUAGGGGAAUCUAGAUCCCCACAUUUUGACCUCCACUGGAGUCUCAGAAGAACAAGUGCCAGGGGGGCUUGCCACAGAGGCCAAGGCAGUGAAUGUCAGGCACAUCACAGUCCCCAAGAUGGGGAGAAGACUGAGAUGCAGGGUAACAACUGCAAUCCAUUCAUGGGAGCCAUGUUUAUCUUAAAUCAUUGACAGUGAGAUAAGGAUCAUGUCAGCCUUCAUACCUUUGAUGAUGAUCCCAGGCUGCAACAGUGACACAUAGAACUGGAUUCAGUAACUAACUACAGAUUCCAUCAACCAGGACUAGUAAAGUGAAAGGCAGAAAUUGGGAGGAGGGGUUUCUUUCUUGCUUAUAAAACUUUAUUUGGUUGUGUUGAGUAUGUGCAUGUAUGUAUGAAAUCCCAUAAAGCAGUCUUCUUAGGAACAAGCCAACAUGCCACAAUGUAGGAGAUCUUUGGAGCACUGGCCUAAAUGGCAGAGAGCUCAAGGGACUCUGCUUUGUACAAGGCAUGAUUUGUACCACCACCACUAUCCCUGUUUCAGAGCACUGUUGAAUUGUUCCAAACCUGGAUUUCUAUGUCAGCUCCCUGUCUAUAGUACUUGACUGAUAAAUGCUAGUUUCUGAAAUCUGCUUU